CGACGAUUUGACUAGAACCGUCGCAAUGUGCUUAUUUUUGAAAUUUUGCAACAGCUUAUGCGACAGUUAGGUAACCGUUGCAAUGUUUUGAAUUAAUUUUGAAAUUUUGCGACAGUUAUAUCAACCGUUGCAUUAUUUUGGCUAUUGCCGCGUAGUCAAAAUUUUGGCUCUUUCUCUAAACAAUCAAAACUUCACUCAAUCUUAUAUUAAAAAAAAAAAAAUACACUCCCCUGUGUUUAUCAAAAAAACUCACACUAAAUCCCUAAAUCCCAAAAACCACAUCUCUGCUGUCUUCUUCGAUCUCUUCGCCUUGAAUCCCUAAAUUACUAUCUCAAUCUCGUUCUCUCCAACAUCUUCAUCGAUGUCUGCAAAGAGAAAUCGUUGCCGUCCUGUUCUCUUCAAUGUCUUCACCUCAAAUCCCUAAAUUUCUCUUUCAUUAUUGUUCCAACUGUAGAAAUCGUUGCCGUCAUGUUACACGUUCAGGAACAAUUUUGUUGUAGUUCUGCUGUAUCGAUGGUAGUUCCGCACUGGUGUGGUUUUGUGUCCAUGUUGGUGUGUUCUAGCUUGAAAAGUGCUUUUGGUUGAUCUAUGAUGAUGAGCAAGGAAGCUAACAUAUGCUAAAAUAUCAUGUGAUGAGAAUGCGGUGAAAAAGAUGGAAAACAAGCCAUGCAUCUAGAUCACGAGAAGCAAUUUUUAAGGUAGAAGGAUUGCUUUCAUCGGAAGUCUUGGCUGCAUUUAAGUGAAAGUUAGUACUGGAGAGUUCAUCAAGGGAUGCUAUAACAUUAUACUUUGCAGCUUGUUAUCACAUGGGGAGAUUAUUAUAGCUCAUUAUUUAUCAAUAUUUCAGGUUUGCACUACUUAAUUGAAACUUUAAAUUAUUGGUUAGGUGAUUCUAUAAGAAAACUCAUUGUUUUUUUUUUUUGUAAGUAGAAAACUUGUUAUUAUUCUCUUUUUUUUUUUAUCUUAUCAGUUUAGAGAAGCCUAUGAGGUUCUAAGAGUUAUUGAGAUUUGUGUGCUUAAGAGUAAACCUAACAUAAGCACAACCACUUGCUAAAUGGAUAAAUUGGGGACCUUCAAUUUUAGUGAUUAUUUUCUCUUUUGAUAUUAAUGUCCAAUUAAAUGUUAAAAAUUUGGCAGAGCAUUGUGCAUUGGAUUCGACACUGAAUUGGUUCUAUGAUUUAUGUAGAAUAGAGAUGUUAAAUGCAAAAUGCAGAUUUGUAAAAUUUGGCAAAGUAGCUAAUGCAGUUUGGCAUGUGUGGAGUAAGUGAUAGUGAGUAUGGGUUAUACAGGUCGCUGCAAAUGUAAGAGGUUGCAGGUAUUUGUAAUUUGCUUCAAAAUGGAUUAUGCAGGUUUGAUAUGGGUGGAUGCAUUCAUAUUUAAUUUUACCACUGACUCUCAUUCACUUUGAUAAUACUAUAAGGAACUUUUUCGAGCAUGUGAGGAUUUAGUGAAAGAAUUAUCGAGACAUGACUCUGGGGAGAAACAAUUGAGUUUAUACAAAAAGUUUGUCCAAUAGGAGCUAAGUUUACAUGACACAAUGCAAAGAAGAGGUGGAAGACUUAGAAUUACCAAACUGAGUACGACAUUCUUUUGAUUCUAGUCAUUUACCUCGGGAUGAUCAAGCAACUUUCUUGUGAUGGACCAUAUAGAUAAUUGAUUAAAUUUUCAUGGAACUCAAGAAACCUUUUUGUAUGAUUGUUAUGUUUUAUUUAUAUGAAUGUGAAACAUAUUUGUUUCUGGAUUAGUUCAUAUUUUAAUAAUAGUAUUUAUAUAUUUAUGUAUUUUAAUUU
Molecule: long non-coding RNA, 1790 nt
Organism: Trifolium pratense (red clover)
Lineage: Eukaryota; Viridiplantae; Streptophyta; Magnoliopsida; Fabales; Fabaceae
Exons: 7
Source: RefSeq, a predicted model, not a curated record